CAGCAGCCACGGGAAUACGUAGGUGGCAAGCGUUGUCCGGAAUUAUUGGGCGUAAAGCGCGCGCAGGCGGAUUGGUCAGUCUGUCUUAAAAGUUCGGGGCUUAACCCCGUGAUGGGAUGGAAACUGCCAAUCUAGAGUAUCGGAGAGGAAAGUGGAAUUCCUAGUGUAGCGGUGAAAUGCGUAGAUAUUAGGAAGAACACCAGUGGCGAAGGCGACUUUCUGGACGAAAACUGACGCUGAGGCGCGAAAGCCAGGGGAGCGAACGGGAUUAGAUACCCGCGUAGUCCCUGUCUCUUAUACA
RNAcentral lists this ribosomal RNA (301 nucleotides) under uncultured bacterium. RNAcentral's name for it is "partial 16S ribosomal RNA". It matches the Rfam family "Bacterial small subunit ribosomal RNA", at positions 509 to 809 of the family's 1533-position model. The record is from RNAcentral.